RNAcentral lists this ribosomal RNA (301 nucleotides) under uncultured bacterium. RNAcentral's name for it is "partial 16S ribosomal RNA". It matches the Rfam family "Bacterial small subunit ribosomal RNA", at positions 509 to 807 of the family's 1533-position model. The record is from RNAcentral.
CAGUCGCCACGGUAAUACAUAGGGUGCGAACGUUAAUCGGAUUUACUGGGCGUAAAGCGUGCGUAGGCGGCUUUUUAAGUCGGAUGUGAAAUCCCUGAGCUUAACUUAGGAAUUGCAUUCGAUACUGGGAAGCUAGAGUAUGGGAGAGGAUGGUAGAAUUCCAGGUGUAGCGGUGAAAUGCGUAGAGAUCUGGAGGAAUACCGAUGGCGAAGGCAGCCAUCUGGCCUAAUACUGACGCUGAGGUACGAAAGCAUGGGGAGCAAACAGGAUUAGAUACCCCCGUAGUCCCUGUCUCUUAUAC